AUCAUUAACGAGUUAGGGUCUCUCUGGCCCGACCUCCCAACCCUUUGUCUACUUGACCAUCGUUGCUUCGGCGAGCCCGUCCUCACGGACCGCCGGAGGGAUCUUUACUGGCCCUCUGGUCCGCGCUCGUCGGUAGCCCAACCUUUAAAAUCUUUAACUAAACGUGCCUUAAUCUAAGUACAAUUAUUAAAUAAAAGCAAAACUUUCAACAACGGAUCUCUUGGUUCUGGCAUCGAUGAAGAACGCAGCGAAAUGCGAUAAGUAAUGCGAAUUGCAGAAUUCCAGUGAGUCAUCGAAUCUUUGAACGCACAKUGCGCCCUUUGGUAUUCCGAAGGGCAUGCCUGUUCGAGCGUCAUUAUCACCCCUCAAGCCCUCGGCUUGGUGUUGGACGGUUUGGUGGAGGCCCCCUCGGGGGCUCCUGCCCCUCCCAAAGACAAUGACGGCGGCCUCGUUGGACCCCCGGUACACUGAGUUCUUCACGGGACACGUAUCGGACACAUGGGUUUACGGGACACGGUCUGCCUCCCCUCAGGGAGAAUCUUUCUAAGGUUGACC
RNAcentral lists this ribosomal RNA (555 nucleotides) under Exophiala equina. RNAcentral describes it as "eukaryotic LSU rRNA". The stretch from base 201 to 355 matches the Rfam family "5.8S ribosomal RNA". Lineage: Eukaryota; Fungi; Ascomycota; Eurotiomycetes; Chaetothyriales; Herpotrichiellaceae. The record is from RNAcentral.